AUAGUCCGCUAUUCUGCAGUGAUUUUCUUCCAAUCCAGUAUCAUUUGUACGUUGCAGCAUCAUCGAACACUAUGACCCAUGAAUCAGAAGAUAACGUAGAUGCUACGAGAGAGCUCAUUUCACAAUGGACAACAGAAGUGUUACGUGACUUUCUACAAGGAGGGGACUCAAGCUUGGAAAUCGAGUACCGGUAGUCAUUAUUUUAUGGGUGUUCUCUGCCUUGACUCUGGGGGUACUGUUCAGCCAUCCGAGGUAGAGAUAAACUGGACGAUGGAUGGAGAGGGGGGGGGGGGGGGGGGGGGGGGGGGCGGAGAAAGGCAUGCAGACUGCAGAGCUGGUCGUCUACUAUGUAUAGAGACAUUUGUGUGUACCUAGUAGAUAAGGACCCUCCAUCACUAGAGGGAAGAAUGAGAGACUACAAAGAGGGAAAGGCAUUUAGUUAUUUUGCCAGUUUCUGGUUAGGGAGAUAUUUUUUUCAUCUCGUGGGAGAAAGCUGUCUGUAAUUCAAAAUCAUUUGAUACUUGAAUAAAUUUAGUUCAUUUUCUAGACUGUUUCAUGUCAAACCGUUGAUUCUACUUUCUUGUGAGUAUAGUCAGAGAGAUAGAGAAGUAACACGAGUAAA
Molecule: long non-coding RNA, 622 nt
Filed under: Strongylocentrotus purpuratus (purple sea urchin)
Lineage: Eukaryota; Metazoa; Echinodermata; Echinoidea; Camarodonta; Strongylocentrotidae
Description: uncharacterized LOC115929962
Source: RNAcentral